RNAcentral lists this ribosomal RNA (459 nucleotides) under uncultured bacterium. RNAcentral describes it as "partial 16S ribosomal RNA". It matches the Rfam family "Bacterial small subunit ribosomal RNA", at positions 338 to 795 of the family's 1533-position model. The record is from RNAcentral.
CCUACGGGAGGCAGCAGUGAGGAAUAUUGGUCAAUGGUCGGGAGACUGAACCAGCCAAGCCGCGUGAGGGAGGAAGGUACAGAGUAUCGUAAACCUCUUUUGUCAGGGAACAAAGGCGGGGACGUGUCCCCGGAUGAGUGUACCUGAAGAAAAAGCAUCGGCUAACUCCGUGCCAGCAGCCGCGGUAAUACGGAGGAUGCGAGGGUUAUCCGGAUUUAUUGGGUUUAAAGGGUGCGCAGGCGGUCUGUUAAGUCAGCGGUCAAAGCCCGGGGCUCAACCCCGGCCCGCCGUUGAAACUGGCAGUCGCGAGUUGGAGAGAAGUAUGUGGAAUGCGCGGUGUAGCGGUGAAAUGCAUAGAUAUCGCGCAGAACUCCGAUUGCGAAGGCAGCAUGCCGGCUCCACACUGACGCUGAGGCACGAAAGCGUGGGUAUCGAACAGGAUUAGAUACCCCUGUAGUC